RNAcentral lists this ribosomal RNA (483 nucleotides) under uncultured bacterium. RNAcentral's name for it is "partial 16S ribosomal RNA". It matches the Rfam family "Bacterial small subunit ribosomal RNA", at positions 30 to 506 of the family's 1533-position model. The record is from RNAcentral.
AUUGAACGCUGGCGGCAGGCCUAACACAUGCAAGUCGAGCGGAUGAAGGGAGCUUGCUCCUGGAUUCAGCGGCGGACGGGUGAGUAAUGCCUAGGAAUCUGCCUGGUAGUGGGGGAUAACGUCCGGAAACGGGCGCUAAUACCGCAUACGUCCUGAGGGAGAAAGUGGGGGAUCUUCGGACCUCACGCUAUCAGAUGAGCCUAGGUCGGAUUAGCUAGUUGGUGGGGUAAAGGCCUACCAAGGCGACGAUCCGUAACUGGUCUGAGAGGAUGAUCAGUCACACUGGAAUUGAGACACGGUCCAGACUCCUACGGGAGGCAGCAGUGGGGAAUAUUGGACAAUGGGCGAAAGCCUGAUCCAGCCAUGCCGCGUGUGUGAAGAAGGUCUUCGGAUGGUAAAGCACUUUAAGUUGGGAGGAAGGGCAGUAAGUUAAUACCUUGCUGUUUGGACGUUACCAACAGAAUAAGCACCGGCUAACUUCGG